Non-coding RNA from Triticum aestivum (bread wheat), 74 nucleotides. The record is from Rfam. NCBI's taxonomy places the organism in Eukaryota, Viridiplantae, Streptophyta, Magnoliopsida, Poales, Poaceae.
AGCGGGGUAGAGGAAUUGGUCAACUCAUCAGGCUCAUGACCUGAAGACUGCAUGUUCGAAUCCUGUCCCCGCCU